Molecule: ribosomal RNA, 487 nt
Filed under: uncultured bacterium
Lineage: Bacteria
Description: SSU rRNA
Rfam family: Bacterial small subunit ribosomal RNA
Source: RNAcentral
AGGACGAACGCUGGCGGCGUGCUUAACACAUGCAAGUCGAGCGAGAGCCAGUUGAGGGGUAACCCUCGACUGGGGACAGCGGCGAACGGGUGCGUAACACGUGGGCAACCUGCCCCUGACACUGGGAUAACCCCGGGAAACCGGAGCUAAUACCGGAUACUCUCGGCCGAUCACAUGGCUGGCCGAGGAAAGGUCCGCCGGUCAGGGAUGGGCCCGCGGCCUAUCAGAUUGUUGGUGGGGUAACGGCCUACCAAGGCGACGACGGGUAGCUGGUCUGAGAGGACGACCAGCCACACUGGAACUGAGAUACGGUCCAGACUCCUACGGGAGGCAGCAGUGGGGAAUAUUGCACAAUGGGCGAAAGCCUGAUGCAGCGACGCCGCGUGAGGGAUGAAGGCCUUCGGGUCGUAAACCUCUUUCGGCAGGGACGAAGCGAUCAGUGACGGUACCUGCAGAGAAGCCCGGCUAACUACGUGCCAGCAGCCGC